Molecule: ribosomal RNA, 748 nt
Filed under: uncultured bacterium
Lineage: Bacteria
Description: bacterial SSU rRNA
Rfam family: Bacterial small subunit ribosomal RNA
Source: RNAcentral
GAGUUUGAUCCUGGCUCAAGAUGAACGCUGGCGGCGUGCUUAACACAUGCAAGUCGAACGGAGAUAUCAUUUUCGAAGCGAUUAGUUUACUAAGAGCGGAGAUGUUGCUAUCUUAGUGGCGGACGGGUGAGUAACGCGUGGGUAACCUGCCUUGCACUGGGGGAUAACACUUAGAAAUAGGUGCUAAUACCGCAUAACAGGAGAAGAUGCAUGUCUUUUCCUUGAAAACUCCGGUGGUGUAAGAUGGACCCGCGUCUGAUUAGCUUGUUGGCGGGGUAACGGCCCACCAAGGCGACGAUCAGUAGCCGGCCUGAGAGGGUGAACGGCCACAUUGGGACUGAGACACGGCCCAAACUCCUACGGGAGGCAGCAGUGGGGAAUAUUGGACAAUGGGGGGAACCCUGAUCCAGCGACGCCGCGUGAGUGAAGAAGUAUUUCGGUAUGUAAAGCUCUAUCAGCAGGGAAGAAAGAAAUGACGGUACCUGACUAAGAAGCCCCGGCUAACUACGUGCCAGCAGCCGCGGUAAUACGUAGGGGGCAAGCGUUAUCCGGAUUUACUGGGUGUAAAGGGAGCGUANACGGCGAUGCAAGUCUGAAGUGAAAGGCGGGGGCCCAACCCCCGGACUGCUUUGGGAACUGUAUGGCUGGAGUGCAAGANAGGUAAGUGGAAUCCCUAGUGUAGCGGUGAAAUGCGUAGAUAUUAAGAGAACACCAGUGGCGAAAGCGGCUUACUGGACUGUUACUGACG